This 603-nucleotide ribosomal RNA is filed under the name uncultured bacterium. RNAcentral's name for it is "bacterial SSU rRNA". It matches the Rfam family "Bacterial small subunit ribosomal RNA", at positions 64 to 681 of the family's 1533-position model. The record is from RNAcentral.
AAAAUGGAGACUGACUUAUAACAAUGGCUUUAGUGGCGGACUGGUGAGUAACACGUGAGCAACCUGCCUAUCAGAGGGGAAUAACAGUGAGAAAUCAUUGCUAAUACCGCAUAUGCCAUAAAUAUCACAUGAUAAAAGUGGGAAAGGAGUAAUCCGCUGAUAGAUGGGCUCGCGUCUGAUUAGAUAGUUGGUGGGGUAACGGCCUACCAAGUCGACGAUCAGUAGCCGGACUGAGAGGUUGAACGGCCACAUUGGGACUGAGAUACGGCCCAGACUCCUACGGGAGGCAGCAGUCGGGAAUAUUGCGCAAUGGAGGAAACUCUGACGCAGUGACGCCGCGUAUAGGAAGAAGGUUUUCGGAUUGUAAACUAUUGUCGUUAGGGAAGAUACAAGACAGUACCUAAGGAGGAAGCUCCGGCUAACUACGUGCCAGCAGCCGCGGUAAUACGUAGGGAGCAAGCGUUAUCCGGAUUUAUUGGGUGUAAAGGGUGCGUAGACGGGAAAGCAAGUUAGUUGUGAAAUCCCUCGGCUUAACUGAGGAACUGCAACUAAAACUACUUUUCUUGAGUGUUGGAGAGGAAAGUGGAAUUCCUAGUGUAGCGG